AGAACGUCAGUAAAACAUAAAGGAAAAUCUACCCUCCGUCCUGUAAUAUUUGGGAAAAUGUUAGGCUUUGUAGGAUAUCUCGUCUAACCUCUCUAACAUACACACUGGUGUGUGUAUGUGUGUGUGAGUGUUAUUGCUAGUUAUCUCUCUCUCUGUCAGUAGUUGCACAGGUCUUCAAGGAUAUUUUUAAGGUUUUAAUGACAGAUUAACAACAUUUCUACAUUAAUAACAGGAGAUACACCAUUGAAAACCCUGAUAAUCAUCUUUAUAGCUUUGAAAAACAGUCGUGAGGAGAGAGAGAGAGAGAGUAUGAGCAUUUCAAUUGAGCCUAUUCUGCCCUGGUUUGUGUUUGCUGCGGUGACACGGUGCCGCACUGAGUGAAGAUUGCGUUCAUAAUCACUUAUUUGGGGUGGAGUGGGGAAAGGAGAGUCAGGAAGUGAGGAUAUUUAUAUUAUUUGACAUAUUAUUUGAUAACAUGUCAACUUUUGUGUGUGUGUGUGUGUGUGUGUGUGUGUGUGUGCGCGGGGGUGGGUGUUGGAUCAGUGACAGGUGGCGCUGCUGGGGAGUUACCACUGCGAGCGGCUGGCUGGCUGCAGUGUUUUGGUCAGCACUGGUCAGUCUUGCCCCACACGCUCUAUUAACCAGUGUUUCCGUCUUCCCGACACCUUCUUCCUGCACCAAGCACCGUCAAGCAUCACCAGAGAGGCACGAGUACGUAAGCUAUCCAACAUCAGAACAGUAUAUGAAUAUGGCAAAUGCUGUUUUGACAUCAUUUCCUGCCAUCCUGAGAAACAGUGAUCUCGAGGAGCAUGAAAUGCAGCUGCAAUGGAAAUUGCGCAUCCAGUGCAAGUUUCAGAAUUCAAGAAAGAGGCAGGAUUCCUCAGUGACUGAGGUGACGUCAAGGAAAAAGAAGAUCCCUUGCAUAGCGCCAAAAGAGACUACAUGUCCACUGAUGUAUGGAGUAAAGGCUAACCUUCCACCAAGGCUUCAUUCAGAAGAUGAUGAGUCAUUAGAGAGACAUAGACAGUGGCUUGCUCUACACUGGAUGAAGAAAGAUCCCGAGUUAGAUAAGAUAAUCAAGGAGUUCCUGAGAUUAGAACCACAAGCGGAUGAACCAGACCCAAGUGUAGCAGUUUUGAAAGGGCUGGAGAAAUAUAGGCUCCCAAUAAUUGCCAUUCUCAAAAAAAGAAAAGCAGUUCCUCUGUAUAUGGAAACCUUACUUGAACUCUAUGACCACGAUGAAAGUCAAUGUGAGUAAUGUCUAGUUCAACUUGUUCAUUUCAGUAGCUGGUAGCAAUUUAAUAUAUGUAUCUUUUCAUCAUUAGCAAUGCAUCUUUCACUUUUAUAAGCCUAGUAUUCAUGAAACUAUGCUGCAUGGAAAAACCAAACAUUGUAUUAAGCAUGACCUAUCUAACUGUAAUGCUUGCACCAAUUUCUAUAAAGGUACUCAUUUAAUUGUUAAAUUCCUGCUCUUCUAUCAAAUUUUUGGCUGAGUGCUAUGGCUAAAUAAUUGUUUGCAGCAUAAGUGAUGUUAAAGAUUUUAAUAGGUGUAAAGCAUCUCUCUCUCUCUCUCUCUUUCUCUCUCUCUCUCUCUCGUAAGGAAAGACAUUAUUUCUAGUGUAAAUACACCCAAUAGGCUGUCCAAUUUGAAAUUUAGAAUGUAAAUAUUAUCAAUCUUUUUAGAAAUGUUAGCUGCAUCCUCUUCCCUUGCAGUCCAAUAAGACAGGUCACUAAUUCGCGUGGAGAUAGAAUUCUUGGAGUCACCUUUGCCGGCGCUAGCGCAAGUGCAAACAGUCUGAUAAAGGUACCAGAAGAAGAACUAAGAACAGGGCAGUCUAGUGUGUAUUUGAUGGUGCACCUGUAGCUGAACCAACAUGUAUUUCUAUGGCUGUAGUCUCAUUGGUAGUAUUGCUUUAUGUUUAAUAUUGAACACCCAAAAAAUUGUGAACAUUUCCUCCAUUUCACAACAUCCCAUCUCUUAGGUAUCAAGUAUGACAAAGGUAACACUUCAAAAAGAAGAUCUCUACUUGUAAAACUCAAUGAAGUAAAGACAGAAUUGAGCUACAAAAAUGCGUAAAUCUGCUUCCAAAUAUAUUCAACUCCACACAUAAUGCCUCUCUCUCUCUCUCUCUCUCUCUCUCUCUCUCUCUC
This is an RNA transcript of Scylla paramamosain (green mud crab), 2151 nucleotides long. RefSeq lists it as uncharacterized. The record is from RefSeq and is a predicted model, not a curated record. NCBI's taxonomy places the organism in Eukaryota, Metazoa, Arthropoda, Malacostraca, Decapoda, Portunidae. The transcript is spliced from 4 exons.